GAUGAACGCUGGCGGCGUGCUUAACACAUGCAAGUCGAACGAAACACCUUAUCUGAUUUUCUUCGGAACUGAAGAUUUGGUGAUUGAGUGGCGGACGGGUGAGUAACGCGUGGGUAACCUGCCCUGUACAGGGGGAUAACAGUCAGAAAUGACUGCUAAUACCGCAUAAGACCACAGCACCGCAUGGUGCAGGGGUAAAAACUCCGGUGGUACAGGAUGGACCCGCGUCUGAUUAGCUGGUUGGUGAGGUAACGGCUCACCAAGGCGACGAUCAGUAGCCGGCUUGAGAGAGUGAACGGCCACAUUGGGACUGAGACACGGCCCAAACUCCUACGGGAGGCAGCAGUGGGGAAUAUUGCACAAUGGGGGAAACCCUGAUGCAGCGACGCCGCGUGAGUGAAGAAGUAUCUCGGUAUGUAAAGCUCUAUCAGCAGGGAAGAAAAUGACGGUACCUGACUAAGAAGC
RNAcentral lists this ribosomal RNA (465 nucleotides) under uncultured bacterium. RNAcentral's name for it is "bacterial SSU rRNA". It matches the Rfam family "Bacterial small subunit ribosomal RNA", at positions 28 to 491 of the family's 1533-position model. The record is from RNAcentral.